Long non-coding RNA from Silurus meridionalis, 368 nucleotides. RefSeq lists it as uncharacterized. NCBI's taxonomy places the organism in Eukaryota, Metazoa, Chordata, Actinopteri, Siluriformes, Siluridae. The transcript has 2 exons. The record is from RefSeq and is a predicted model, not a curated record.
CGGCACUGAGAGUGGCUGGGGAUGGUUCCCUGACCGGGGAUCGAACCCGGGUCGCAGCGAUCCUGAUGACGAGACUGAAUCCUCAAUUCUGAUUGGUCCAAACUCUGAGUUGUGAUUGGUCAGAGCGCUGGUAUAUAAACCCCCUCCUGACUGCUAGAGCAGAAGUUUCCCGGUGAAGACACAAUCAGGAGGAUCUGUCACCUUCUCUUCUUCUCUUCUUCUUCUCUGGAGUUCCACACGGAGUUAUAGAUAAUAAUAAGAGGUUAUAGAGUGUUUGGUGUGUGGUAUAGGUAAAUGAUGGCGCGCUGCAGUUCAGUAAUGAAAGCUCUGAUCUUCCUCACAUUUUCUCUUCAUCUUUCAUCAGCAGG